CUCUCUCAUUUCACUCUCUGGCUGGUGGGCCGCCCCCCCUCCCCUCCCUUCCCUUCCCUUCCCUUCCCUUCUUUGCAUCUCUCUCCCUUCACUCUCUGGCUGGUGAAAAUCAAAGCAAAACAAGUUGGUCAUCGUUGGCUUUACUGAGACAGAGAGUGAUGAAGAAGAGUACUUGGCUGAGUUAACUCAUCAAAUGGCCCACUCCACCCUUGAAGAUGAUUUUAAGAAAAACGACCUCCCUUGCAGCACCGAAAAGACUAAGGUUGGUUGCAGUUGUAGAUAAGGAUCUAGUCGUGGAAGCCCGAAUGGGUCUUCACCUCCAGCAACUUGGGAUCUGCUGUAUGAGAUUGCAGGAGAAGUAGAGAGGACCAUUGGGUUUGAACCGGUUUGGAAGGGGAAAAAACCGAACCGAACCGAACCGAAAUUAAUCGGUUUGAACCGGUUUUCGGUUCGGUUCGGUUCAAAAAAUUAAAAAAAUAAUAAUUCGGUUUGGUUGUUUAUUUUGAUUCAAAACCGGACCGAACCGGAAAUGCUCAGCCCUAGUGCUCACAGCAUCACAUAUGGCUUUUUUUUUUUUAGUUGUAGGUGUUCGGAUUAGUUUAUAUGCAUCUCGAUUAAUAUUUCGAGAUCCUGAAAUUAAUGACUAUGAAAGCUUUCAAUGGUCCUGAAAGAACUCAAACUUAUAAUUAUUAAAAAAUAAAUUUAAAAUUUAUCCAGUUAAGCUACGUAUUCCUUUGAGUUCAGAUAUCGCCUUUCUUCUUUACCAGAGCAGUGGCAGCACAAAAUAUUGGGAGAUAGGCACAAAAAGUUUUGAUAUUUUAUAGGACAUUAAUUUUAGCAUUAGAUCGCUCGUUGUUUCCAUGAAUAAUUGUAACCAUAUAUAACCAGAACAAUUUAUUAUGGUA
Populus trichocarpa (black cottonwood) is the source of this 905-nucleotide long non-coding RNA. RefSeq lists it as uncharacterized. The record is from RefSeq and is a predicted model, not a curated record. Lineage: Eukaryota; Viridiplantae; Streptophyta; Magnoliopsida; Malpighiales; Salicaceae. The transcript has 2 exons.